RNAcentral lists this ribosomal RNA (439 nucleotides) under Capitella aracaensis. RNAcentral describes it as "partial 16S ribosomal RNA". It matches the Rfam family "Bacterial large subunit ribosomal RNA", at positions 1930 to 2599 of the family's 2925-position model. The record is from RNAcentral. Lineage: Eukaryota; Metazoa; Annelida; Polychaeta; Capitellidae.
GCUGCGGUAAUCUAACCGUACUAAGGUAGCAUAAUAAUUUGCCCUUUAAUUGUGGGCUGGCAUGAAUGGGUAAACGAGGACAUGGCUGUCUCUUUCUUAUUAAACAAAAAUUGGAAUUCAAGUGAAGAUACUUGGAUUUUUUUAAAAGACAAGAAGUCCCCAUAGAGCUUAAGGGAUAGAUUAGAUAGGAAUACAUAGUUGAAAACUUUGGUUGGGGCGACUAAAAAUCAUCUAAAGCGUUUUUUAUUCAGGAGAGAAGGGUCUCGGAGUUGUGAUCCGUGUAUAGCGAUUAAAUGAAAAAGCUACCUUGGGGAUAACAGGCUUAUUUACUCAAAGAGUUCACAUUGCUGAGUAAGAUUGGCACCUCGAUGUUGGCUCAGGGUGUCCCAUAGGUGCAGAAGUCUAUGAUGGUAGGUUUGUUCACCCUUUAAAACCCUAC